GAUGAACGCUGGCGGUGUGCCUAAUACAUGCAAGUCGAGCGGACUGACGGGAAUCUGUGUCCUCUGGGGUUAGCGGCGGACGGAUUAGGAACACGGGGAUAGCCUGACUAUAGGAAUGGGUUAACAUCGGGAAACCGGAGCUGAGGCCGGAUAAUAUUUGGAACCGCAUGGUUCAGAAUUGAAAUACGGUCUUGCUGUGACUUAUAGAUAGAACCGCGCUGCAUUAGCUAGUUGGUAAGGUAAUGGCUUACCAAGGCAACGAUGCAUAGCCUACCUGAGAGGGUGAACGGCCACACUGGAACUGAGACCCGGUCCAGACUCGUCCGGGAGGCAGCAGUAGGGCAUCUUCCGCAAAGCGCGAAAGCAUUACGGAGCAACGCCGCGUGACUGAUGAAGGUCUUCCGCUCGUAGAAAUCAGUUACUAGGGAAGAAAAUAUGUUUAAGUAACUAUGCACAUAUUGACGGUACCUAAUCAGAAAGCAACGGCUAACUACGUG
RNAcentral lists this ribosomal RNA (497 nucleotides) under uncultured bacterium. Its description in RNAcentral is "partial 16S ribosomal RNA". It matches the Rfam family "Bacterial small subunit ribosomal RNA", at positions 28 to 507 of the family's 1533-position model. The record is from RNAcentral.